AAUCAACGUUGGCGGCGCGCCUAACACAUGCAAGUCGAACGAGAAAGUGGAGCAAUCCAUGAGUAAAGUGGCGUACGGGUGAGUAACACGUGGGUAAUCUACCUCUUGGUGGGGAAUAACGCUGGGAAACUGGCGCUAAUACCGCAUAAGUUCGUAAGAAGAAAGUCGCAAGACGCCGAGAGAGGAGCCCGCGGCCGAUUAGCUAGUUGGUAGGGUAAAAGCCUACCAAGGCUAUGAUCGGUAGCCGGCCUGAGAGGGCACACGGCCACACUGGCACUGAAACACGGGCCAGACUCCUACGGGAGGCAGCAGUGGGGAAUCUUGCACAAUGGGGGAAACCCUGAUGCAGCGACGCCGCGUGAGUGAUGAAGCCCUUCGGGGUGUAAAGCUCUUUCGACAGGAACGAUAAUGACGGUACCUGGAGAAGAAGCUGCGGCUAAC
This 441-nucleotide ribosomal RNA is filed under the name uncultured bacterium. RNAcentral's name for it is "bacterial SSU rRNA". It matches the Rfam family "Bacterial small subunit ribosomal RNA", at positions 32 to 501 of the family's 1533-position model. The record is from RNAcentral.